This 3119-nucleotide ribosomal RNA is filed under the name Alkalibaculum sporogenes. Its description in RNAcentral is "Alkalibaculum sp. M08DMB 23S ribosomal RNA". It matches the Rfam family "Bacterial large subunit ribosomal RNA". The record is from RNAcentral. Lineage: Bacteria; Bacillati; Bacillota; Clostridia; Eubacteriales; Eubacteriaceae.
AGGUCAAGUUAAUAAGGGCAUAGGGAGAAUGCCUUGGCACUGAGAGCCGAAGAAGGACGUGACAAGCUGCGAAAAGCUGCGUGUAGGUGCAAAUAACCGAUUGAAGCGCAGAUGUCCGAAUGGGGAAACCCGGCAGGGAGAAGCCCUGUCACCCACAGAUGAAUAAAAUAGUCUGUGAGGAGGGAACCUGGGGAACUGAAACAUCUAAGUACCUGGAGGAAGAGAAAGAAAACUCGAUUUCCCUAGUAGCGGCGAGCGAAAGGGAAACAGCCCAAACCCAGCACAUAAUUGUGCUUGUGAGGCGAAAAUAUGUUUUGUGAUUAAAUCAGGAAGCAUAGCUAAGUCAAAAGGCAAGUAGAAUUAUGUGCUGGGGGUUCGGAAUAUACAAUAAAAGGUAUUAAAUCAUAGCCGAAUGAACUGGGAAGUUCAACCGUAGAGAGUAAGAGUCUCGUAGGCGAAAUGAAGAGAUACAAAGUAUAUAUCCAGAGUACCACGGGACACGUGAAACCCUGUGGGAACAAGGGGGGACCACCCCCCAAGGCUAAAUACUACUCAGUGACCGAUAGCGCAUAGUACCGUGAGGGAAAGGUGAAAAGAACCCCGGAAGGGGAGUGAAAUAGAACCUGAAACCCUAUGCUUACAAGCAGUGGGAGCGGGCGUAAGCCUGUGACCAUGUACUUUUUGUAGAACGGACCAGCGAGUUACGAUAUGUAGCAAGGUUAAUAUUUUAAGGAUAGGAGCCGUAGGGAAACCGAGUCUUAAUAGGGCGAGAAGUUGCAUAUUGUAGACCCGAAACCGUGUGACCUACCCAUGUCCAGGGUGAAGCGUGAGUAAAAUCACGUGGAGGCCCGAACCGGUGUCUGUUGAAAAAGGCUCGGAUGAGGUGUGGGUAGCGGAGAAAUUCCAAUCGAACACGGAGAUAGCUGGUUCUCCCCGAAAUAGCUUUAGGGCUAGCGUCAAGGGAUGAAUAGUGGAGGUAGAGCACUGAAUUGGCUAGGGGGCGUAUAGCUUACCGAACCAUAUCAAACUCCGAAUGCCAUAUAUUUUACCUUGGCAGUCAGACUACGUGAGAUAAGUUUCGUAGUCGAAAGGGAAACAGCCCAGAUCAUCAGCUAAGGUCCCAAAGUGUAAGUUAAGUGGGAAAGGAUGUGCAAUUGCUAAGACAACUAGGAUGUUGGCUUAGAAGCAGCCACUCAUUUAAAGAGUGCGUAAUAGCUCACUAGUCGAGUGAUUGUGCGCCGAAGAUAACCGGGGCUCAAACUUACCACCGAAGCUAUGGCAGUUGAGAGGUUAGAAGUGAGAAGUUAGAAGUUAGAUACUGUGCACUACGUGCACGGUAAAAAGACAUGACGUAAGAGUCAUGGCAGUAAGUCUAACAUCCGACAUCUGACUUCUUGCCUCUCAACUGGGUAGGGGAGCAUUGUGUACGAGGUGAAGCUUAACUGGAAGGUUAGGUGGAUUUUACACAAGAGAGAAUGCUGGUAUGAGUAGCGAAAGUUAAGUGAGAAUCUUAACCAUCGAAAGUCUAAGGUUUCCUGAGGAAGGUUCGUCCGCUCAGGGUAAGUCGGGACCUAAGCCGAGGCCUAUAGGCGUAGGCGAUGGAUAACCGGUUGAAAUUCCGGUACCACCUUAAGCGUCUGAGAGAUGGAGUGACACAGGAGGAUAAGCUAACCGCUCGAAUGGAAGAGAGCGGCCAAGCGACAAGUAGGGAAGCAUAGUCAAAUGCGUGCUUCUAUUAAACUAUGAGUCGUUAAGGGGACCGAAAAUAAGUAGGGAAGUAGCUGAUUUCACACUGUCAAGAAAAGCUUCUAUCGAGCGAAGAGGUGCCCGUACCGCAAACCGACACAGGUAGACGAGGAGAGAAUCCUAAGAUGAUCGGGAGAAGUGUUGUUAAGGAACUCGGCAAAAUAACCCCGUAACUUCGGGAGAAGGGGAGCCUAACCUGAUGCAAUUUAUUGUAUACAGGAAGGCUGCAGAGAAAUGGCCCAAGCGACUGUUUAACAAAAACACAGGUUUCUGCUAAAUCGAAAGAUGAAGUAUAGGAGCUGACGCCUGCCCGGUGCUGGAAGGUUAAGGGGACUUGUUAGCGCAAGCGAAGCAAUGAACUUAAGCCCCAGUAAACGGCGGCCGUAACUAUAACGGUCCUAAGGUAGCGAAAUUCCUUGUCAGGUAAGUUCUGACCCGCACGAAAGGCGUAACGAUUUGGGCACUGUCUCAACAACACACCCGGUGAAAUUGUAGUACUCGUGAAGAUGCGAGUUACCCGCGACAGGACGGAAAGACCCCGUAGAGCUUUACUGUAGCUUGACAUUGGAUUUUGGUAUUGCAUGUACAGGAUAGGUGGGAGGCUGAGAAGCCGGGACGCUAGUCUCGGUGGAGCUGCCCUUGGGAUACCACUCUUGUAAUACUGAAAUUCUAACCAGUGGCCGUUAACCGGUCAUGGGACAUUGUCUGGUGGGCAGUUUGACUGGGGCGGUCGCCUCCGAAAGAGUAACGGAGGCGCCCAAUGGUCACCUCAGAAUGGUUGGAAAUCAUUCGUAGAGCGCAAAGGCAAAAGGUGGCCUGACUGCGAGAGAGACAUCUCGAGCAGGGACGAAAGUCGGGCUUAGUGAUCCGGUGGUACCGAGUGGAAGGGCCAUCGCUCAACGGAUAAAAGCUACCUCGGGGAUAACAGGCUUAUCUCCCCCAAGAGUCCACAUCGACGGGGAGGUUUGGCACCUCGAUGUCGGCUCGUCUCAUCCUGGGGCUGUAGUAGGUCCCAAGGGUUGGGCUGUUCGCCCAUUAAAGAGGCACGCGAGCUGGGUUCAGAACGUCGUGAGACAGUUCGGUCCCUAUCCGUCGUGGGCGCAAGAUAUUUGAGAGGAGCUGUUCCUAGUACGAGAGGACCGGAAUGGACAGACCUCUGGUGCACCAGUUGUUCCGCCAGGAGCAUAGCUGGGUAGCUAAGUCUGGACGGGAUAAGCGCUGAAGGCAUCUAAGCGCGAAGCCCCCCUCGAGAUUAGAUAUCUCACCCGAAAGGGGUAAGGUCCCUGGUAGACUACCAGGUUGAUAGGUCAGAGGUGUACAUGUAGAAAUACAUUUAGCUGACUGAUACUAAUAGACCGAGGACUUGACCUAAA